Molecule: transfer-messenger RNA, 384 nt
Filed under: Patescibacteria group
Lineage: Bacteria
Also listed under: 1 other name
Description: FEB-17 sp003104935 Standard tmRNA
Rfam family: transfer-messenger RNA
About the family: Bacterial tmRNA, also known as 10Sa RNA or SsrA, is named for its dual tRNA and mRNA-like properties.
Source: RNAcentral
GGGGAUGUCUUUAUUCGAUGUCAGAUGAAGUGAUUUGUGGCAAGCGGAGUCUGCUAUCUCCUUAAAAAGGCUAACAAAAUAAGUGCCAAAAACUUAUUUGCCAAAGUCCAGGGACUGUUCGCAGUUCCGAGACUGGCCCCAGUUUUAGCAUAAAUUUGCUGAAACCAUCUCUAGCCAGGUUCGCCUGAGACGGGCUACGGGGUGUCAUUUAUCGGGAUAGAAAUAAUUCGCGCCGACCGGAUUAUUUCGAAACUAAGAUCGGCUGGAUGAUCAGUGUUUUGCUAAUUUUUAAGCUGAUGAUCGAGAACCAAAAAAUUAACUAAGCUUGUAGAAAUAAAUCAGGACAUUUGUCAGACAGGGGUGUAAUACCCCUCAUCUCCACCA